RNAcentral lists this long non-coding RNA (632 nucleotides) under Brassica rapa (field mustard). RNAcentral describes it as "long non-coding RNA (BRAP_LNC002886)". Lineage: Eukaryota; Viridiplantae; Streptophyta; Magnoliopsida; Brassicales; Brassicaceae. The record is from RNAcentral.
GAAACUGAGGGUAACCGAACAGGUGCUAACAGAGAAAGAGGAAGCGUUCAGGAGAGAAGAAGCUAAACACUUGGAGGAACAAGCAGUGCUUGAGAAAAGCCUCAAGGUGACUCAUGAGGCUUAUCAAGGUAUGAUGAAAGAGAUAGCAGAGAAAGCGAACACAACACUAGAUGGGUUUCAGUCAAUGUCGGGAAAAUUCACGGAGAAGCAGGGGAAGUACGAGAAAACGGUAAUGGAGGCUUCUAAAUUGCUGUGGACUGCUACGAAUUGGGUGAUAGAGAGGAAUCACGAGAAGGAGAAGAUGAAGAAAGAGAUGGAGAGGAAAGUAGAGGAAAUAAAGAAGCUUGGAGAGAAAGUAAGAGAAGAUGAAAAAGAGAAGGAGAGGAAAGAGGAGGAAAUAAAGAAGCUUGGAGAGAAAGUAAGAGAAGAUGAAAAGGAGAAGGAGAGGAAAGAAGAGGAAAUAAAGAAGCUUGGAGAAAAAGUAAGAGAGGAUGAAAAGGAGAAGGAGAAAAAAGAAGAGGAGAUAAAGAAGCUUGGAGAAAAAUUAAGGGAAGAUGAAAAGGAGAAGGAGAGGAUGAAGGAGACUUUGGUUGGACUUGGAGAAGAGAAAAGAGAAGCAAUAAGGCAAUUAU